RNAcentral lists this unclassified non-coding RNA (211 nucleotides) under plant metagenome. Its description in RNAcentral is "partial contains small subunit ribosomal RNA, internal transcribed spacer 1, and 5.8S ribosomal RNA". The record is from RNAcentral.
UUUCCGUAGGUGAACCUGCGGAAGGAUCAUUCAUAAUAAAGUGUUUUAUGGCACUUUUUAAAAAUCCAUAUCCACCUUGUGUGCAAUGUUAGAUCUCGUCAAUCUUGGCGAGGUUUUUAUACAUCAACUCAUUCUUUAACUAAUUUGUCUGAAAAAUAUUAUGAAUACUUAAUUCAAAAUACAACUUUCAACAACGGAUCUCUUGGCUCCC